GGGUGACGAGCGGCGGACGGGUGAGUAAUGUCUGGGAAACUGCCUGAUGGAGGGGGAUAACUACUGGAAACGGUAGCUAAUACCGCAUAAUGUCGCAAGACCAAAGUGGGGGACCUUAGGGCCUCUUGCCAUCGGAUGUGCCCAGAUGGGAUUAGCUAGUAGGUGGGGUAACGGCUCACCUAGGCGACGAUCCCUAGCUGGUCUGAGAGGAAGGUCCCCCACAUUGGAACUGAGACACGGUCCAAACUCC
RNAcentral lists this ribosomal RNA (250 nucleotides) under uncultured Enterobacteriaceae bacterium. Its description in RNAcentral is "partial 16S ribosomal RNA". It matches the Rfam family "Bacterial small subunit ribosomal RNA", at positions 86 to 339 of the family's 1533-position model. The record is from RNAcentral. Lineage: Bacteria; Pseudomonadati; Pseudomonadota; Gammaproteobacteria; Enterobacterales; Enterobacteriaceae.